GCCGCUAUAGCUCAGCUGGUAGAGCAAGAAAUUUGUAAUUUCGAGGUCCCGGGUUCGAUCCCUGGUGGCGGCA
RNAcentral lists this transfer RNA (73 nucleotides) under Marivivens geojensis. Its description in RNAcentral is "tRNA-Thr". It matches the Rfam family "tRNA". Rfam says of the family: Transfer RNA (tRNA) molecules are approximately 80 nucleotides in length. Lineage: Bacteria; Pseudomonadati; Pseudomonadota; Alphaproteobacteria; Rhodobacterales; Paracoccaceae. The record is from RNAcentral.